This 253-nucleotide ribosomal RNA is filed under the name uncultured bacterium. RNAcentral's name for it is "partial 16S ribosomal RNA". It matches the Rfam family "Bacterial small subunit ribosomal RNA", at positions 524 to 776 of the family's 1533-position model. The record is from RNAcentral.
UACGGAGGGUGCGAACGUUAAUCGGAAUCACUGGGCGUAAAGCGCGCGUAGGCGGUUCGUUAAGUGGGAUGUGAAAUCCCCGGGCUUAACCUGGGAAUUGCAUUUCAAACUGGCCGACUAGAGUACGGUAGAGGGAGGUAGAAUUUCCUGUGUAGCGGUGAAAUGCGUAGAUAUCGGGAGGAACAUCAGUGGCGAAGGCGACCACCUGGACGGAGACUGACGCUGAGGCGCGAGAGCGUGGGGAGCAAACAGG